Molecule: long non-coding RNA, 754 nt
Filed under: Sus scrofa (pig)
Lineage: Eukaryota; Metazoa; Chordata; Mammalia; Artiodactyla; Suidae
Description: lncRNA (ENSSSCG00070029967.1)
Source: RNAcentral
AUGCGUCCCCAAAGUAGGUUGACUUUCUGGGACUGCUUAAAGCGAUUCCUCCCGACAAAGGGAAGGGUAGUGCCUUCCUCAGUCUCUUGGGGCAUACUUCUUUCCGGAUCUGGCACAAACUACCCCGCAGGGCUUAAAGACAUGCUGAUGACAGAUGAUGAAGGUAUGCAUCUCUUAAUCAAGCUGCCUCACUUGCCCAUCUAAAGAGCUAUUUAAAAAACACAUCUAGCAGGUCUCAGCCGCCAAUAUUCACAUCUUAUUUACUCCUACAGUCACUUUUGAAAAAUCUAAAGAAAUUCUCAUUCAGGCUAUGACCUAAGGAGAGGGCAAGCUGAAAAUUCCCUCUGCAGGGCAAGGGCAUUUUUUUAGUUUAAAUUCAGUUGCUGAUGUUAUUAGCUGCUGUUCUGACCUUCCAGCCAACUUAAAGAUGGUUUAUGUUAACAUUGAAAAUGUCAACUCGUGUGGCCAGAGUGUUUUCUAAAUGAUGCUCUUUACAUGGUUCUUCAUUUGUUGGAUAAUAAUGACUAUUUUCUCCUUUGGCUUUAAAACUGAAGGAAUAUGGCUAGGUUUCCUUCUCUGUUUGCAAAUGGAGCCCCUGCCAUGUGUCUAGGCCUGGGCUGGGUUCUUUCUACCCCAUCCUAUUCCUCUGCCAAGAAAGCAAAGAUCAUAUUUCAAACAUAUUAUUUCCACCUUGAACAAAGUUGGUGGGAAUGUAAAUUUUGUGCAGCCACUGUGGAAAAGUAUAGAAGUUUCU